RNAcentral lists this ribosomal RNA (496 nucleotides) under uncultured bacterium. RNAcentral's name for it is "partial 16S ribosomal RNA". It matches the Rfam family "Bacterial small subunit ribosomal RNA", at positions 29 to 507 of the family's 1533-position model. The record is from RNAcentral.
AUGCACGCUGGCGGCGUGCCUCAUCCAUGCAAGUCGAGCGAACAGACGAGGAGCUUGCUCCUCUGACGUUAGCGGCGGACGGGUGAGUAACACGUGGAUAACCUACCUAUAAGACUGGGAUAACUUCGGGAAACCGGAGCUAAUACCGGAUAACAUGUUGAACCGCAUGGUUCAACAGUGAAAGACGGUCUUGCUGUCACUUAUAGAUGGAUCCGCGCCGCAUUAGCUAGUUGGUAAGGUAACGGCUUACCAAGGCAACGAUGCGUAGCCGACCUGAGAGGGUGAUCGGCCACACUGGAACUGAGACACGGUCCAGACUCCUACGGGAGGCAGCAGUAGGGAAUCUUCCGCAAUGGGCGAAAGCCUGACGGAGCAACGCCGCGUGAGUGAAGAAGGUCUUCGGAUCGUAAAACUCUGUUAUUAGGGAAGAACAAAUGUGUAAGUAACUAUGCACGUCUUGACGGUACCUAAUCAGAAAGCCACGGCUAACUACGUG